Long non-coding RNA from Dermacentor andersoni, 1499 nucleotides. RefSeq lists it as uncharacterized. Lineage: Eukaryota; Metazoa; Arthropoda; Arachnida; Ixodida; Ixodidae. The record is from RefSeq and is a predicted model, not a curated record.
AAACAAAACGAAUAGCAUGUUAGAAUUCUUCAAAAGUCUGAUAAUGUUCACAAAAUUCAAAAAGAUAUUGUAAGGUCGCUCUGAUUGUUCGUGUUCUUAAGUGUGACGAAUCGGCCACGUGCUGUGUGUAUAGAGAGGGGGUUCACUUCCCCCCCCCCCCCAUGUCAGCGGGGCAACCGUUUCUGUGUUAUGUGAGGUCACGGACCGCGCGGUGUUGGGUGACGCGUCGCGGCAGGCGCCAGGAGGGCGAGUGCCGAUUCCGGGAAGUCGGUAUUGUGCGCAGGGUGUUGGCAGUUCGCCGACGGUCACACAAGUCCACACAGACCAGCCUUGAAAGGGACCGCUGUAUACGGUAUUGUGGCUCUGGCGCCCGAGUACCUGACUAGUUGGAGGCGCCGCCGAGGUUAAGAAGGGCUUAGCAACCUUGACCCCGUGCCGCGCGUCCGGAACGCAAUCGCCAGUCUUGUUGUUGGGUGCGACUGCCUGUGUGAUGUCGAAGGCCAGCUUACAGUGCACGCUGUAGGGAUGCGGUGCACACGUGGAGAGUGGAUUCGGACGGCGGCGUCUUGUAAACGCGCACUCGGAGAACUUUGUCUUGUAGACAAUAAGUUUGAAGGACAAGGAGGGCCAUCCGUCUCCCACACGGCCGAACUUUGAGUACAGCGGCACUACGUGGUGUCGAUGCCCCUGCUUCCGAGACAUUUGCGGCCUAGACGCCGUUGGGAUUUGAGGCGGUCUAGCGAUAACUUGUUCGGGCCUGGCGUGUUUUGCUGAGCCCGUCACUAACUACGUAGAAACGAGAGGGCAACGGAGUUUUGGGGAAGAAGGAAAAGAGCUUUGUUUUUCAAUAUGUUUAUUUUUAAGAGUAAGCCCAUCCCUUUGGGUUGUGGCUUAACAAACGGUUGACUCUGAUUGGCAACUGAACCUGUGGGACGGGCCAACGGCCCUACCGCCUUUUUUUCUUUGUAUAUUUGGGCUAUAAAAAUCGGGACGACAUGCUGUCCCCCAGACUUGGCUGAAAUCAGGAUUACUGAUAGAUCAGUGAGGCUCCGUACCAUGUACGUUAGACUUGGCUGAAAUCAGGAUUACUGAUAGAUCAGUGAGGCUCCGUACCAUGUACGUUAGACUUGGCUGAAAUCAGGAUUGCUGAUAGAUCAGUGAGCCUCCGUACUAUGUACGUUAAAACGAGUCUGGGCUCUAACAGUCAUUGAGACAGUCGAAGAGUGAGACUUUGUUUCUCAAUUGUUCAAGUUUGUAAUGUAUUUGUUUUACCUGCCAUGUAUAUAGAAAAAUUCAACUGUAAAUAUUUCUUGUACAUCUGACCUCAUCGCUUCCUGCCUGCGUUUGAUCAACUGCCGAUCAUCGUCCGAGAAGCUUCAAGUUCCAACGGUGAAGCGAGGACAACAGAGAACGAACGAAACUUUACUGAUAUCUAGAUAUGCAAUGGCAAGCCCUUCCGUGUCUUCCAAAGACAAUGCCUACACCUAGCCACAGCAGCU